Long non-coding RNA from Equus caballus (horse), 603 nucleotides. RefSeq lists it as uncharacterized. Lineage: Eukaryota; Metazoa; Chordata; Mammalia; Perissodactyla; Equidae. The record is from RefSeq and is a predicted model, not a curated record.
GACUGGACAGGGCUCAGAAUUUUAGGACAAAGAGAGAAGAACAUGGUGGCUUGGAGGACCGUCUCAGGAGGAGCUUCUACAGCUUCCAGCUGAAGUCACAGCAAAGGCUGAGCUCAUCAGGGGGAGGGCAGGAAGCACGAGGCAAAGGGACAGCAGGAGGAGGCCGGGGUGAGGGCUCCAGUGAAGAGUACGAUUUUAAAUAUCCGUCCAGAAAGACAGAGGCGCACCUCACGGUUCCUCCUAGAUUGUAAAUUCCCUGAGGGCAGAGUCGGCAUGGAGGCGGGAGGGCCACCCUGAGCUCCUCCCUGCCAUAUGUGAUUUCACUUCACCCUCACGACAGCUUUACCAGCUGUUGCUUCAUCUGCCAUUUUACUAAGACGACGGGACUGCUAAUGGAACAGCAUAACCUUGCUCAGAAUUCCAGCUUUGUGUUCAAGCAAUUUCUGGGGCGGUGGGGGGGGGAAUGGACGAGAAAGGAUUCAGAAUUUCUGCUGAAUAAGAAAUUAUUUCUGUUGAACUUUAGUAGCCUCAAACCUGUUUUAUUAUUCAAAGGAGAAGAGCCACAGAACUGCCUGGCAGAACGAAUUUAUGCAGGUUCAAAGG